GAUGAACGCUGGCGGCGUGCCUAAUACAUGCAAGUCGAGCGAACGGACGAGAAGCUUGCUUCUCUGAUGUUAGCGGCGGACGGGUGAGUAACACGUGGAUAACCUACCUAUAAGACUGGGAUAACUUCGGGAAACCGGAGCUAAUACCGGAUAAUAUUUUGAACCGCAUGGUUCAAAAGUGAAAGACGGUCUUGCUGUCACUUAUAGAUGGAUCCGCGCUGCAUUAGCUAGUUGGUAGGGUAACGGCUUACCAAGGCAACGAUGCAUAGCCGACCUGAGAGGGGGAUCGGCCACACUGGAACUGAGACACGGUCCAGACUCCUACGGGAGGCAGCAGUAGGGAAUCUUCCGCAAUGGGCGAAAGCCUGACGGAGCAACGCCGCGUGAGUGAUGAAGGUCUUCGGAUCGUAAAACUCUGUUAUUAGGGAAGAACAUAUGUGUAAGUAACUGUGCACAUCUUGACGGUACCUAAUCAGAAAGCCACGGCUAACUACGUG
Molecule: ribosomal RNA, 497 nt
Filed under: uncultured bacterium
Lineage: Bacteria
Description: partial 16S ribosomal RNA
Rfam family: Bacterial small subunit ribosomal RNA
Source: RNAcentral